GGCAGUGUAGUGUAAUGGGUAAGGUGCUGGUCUUGUAACCUAAAGGUCGCAGGUUCGAUUCCUGGGUGAGGAACUGCCG
This 79-nucleotide transfer RNA is filed under the name Anguilla anguilla (European eel). RNAcentral describes it as "tRNA-OTHER". The record is from RNAcentral. Lineage: Eukaryota; Metazoa; Chordata; Actinopteri; Anguilliformes; Anguillidae.